GAUGAACGCUGGCGGCGUGCCUAAUACAUGCAAGUCGAGCGAACAGACGAGGAGCUUGCUCCUCUGACGUUAGCGGCGGACGGGUGAGUAACACGUGGAUAACCUACCUAUAAGACUGGGAUAACUUCGGGAAACCGGAGCUAAUACCGGAUAAUAUAUUGAACCGCAUGGUUCAAUAGUGAAAGACGGUUUUGCUGUCACUUAUAGAUGGAUCCGCGCCGCAUUAGCUAGUUGGUAAGGUAACGGCUUACCAAGGCAACGAUGCGUAGCCGACCUGAGAGGGUGAACGGCCACACUGGAACUGAGACACGGUCCAGACUCCUACGGGAGGCAGCAGUAGGGAAUCUUCCGCAAUGGGCGAAAGCUUGACGGAGCAACGCCGCGUGAGUGAUGAAGGUCUUCGGAUCGUAAAACUCUGUUAUUAGGGAAGAACAAAUGUGUAAGUAACUAUGCACGUCUUGACGGAACCUAAUCAGAAAGCCACGGCUAACUACGUG
This 497-nucleotide ribosomal RNA is filed under the name uncultured bacterium. Its description in RNAcentral is "partial 16S ribosomal RNA". It matches the Rfam family "Bacterial small subunit ribosomal RNA", at positions 28 to 507 of the family's 1533-position model. The record is from RNAcentral.